AAGAGCUCGUAGGCGGUUUGUCGCGUCUGCCGUGAAAGUCCGGGGCUCAACUCCGGAUCUGCGGUGGGUACGGGCAGACUAGAGUGAUGUAGGGGAGACUGGAAUUCCUGGUGUAGCGGUGAAAUGCGCAGAUAUCAGGAGGAACACCGAUGGCGAAGGCAGGUCUCUGGGCAUUAACUGACGCUGAGGAGCGAAAGCAUGGGGAGCGAACAGGAUUAGAUACCCUGGUAGUCCAUGCCGUAAACGUUGGGCACUAGGUGUGGGGGACAUUCCACGUUUUCCGCGCCGUAGCUAACGCAUUAAGUGCCCCGCCUGGGGAGUACGGCCGCAAGGCUAAAACUCAAAGGAAUUGACGGGGGCCCGCACAAGCGGCGGAGCAUGCGGAUUAAUUCGAUGCAACGCGAAGAACCUUACCAAGGCUUGACAUGGGCCGGACCGGGCUGGAAACAGUCCUUCCCCUUUGGGGCCGGUUCACAGGUGGUGCAUGGUUGUCGUCAGCUCGUGUCGUGAGAUGUUGGGUUAAGUCCCGCAACGAGCGCAACCCUCGUUCCAUGUUGCCAGCGCGUAAUGGCGGGGACUCAUGGGAGACUGCCGGGGUCAACUCGGAGGAAGGUGGGGACGACGUCAAAUCAUCAUGCCCCUUAUGUCUUGGGCUUCACGCAUGCUACAAUGGCCGGUACAAAGGGUUGCGAUACUGUGAGGUGGAGCUAAUCCCAAAAAGCCGGUCUCAGUUCGGAUUGGGGUCUGCAACUCGACCCCAUGAAGUCGGAGUCGCUAGUAAUCGCAGAUCAGCAACGCUGCGGUGAAUACGUUCCCGGGCCUUGUACACACCGCCCGUCAAGUCACGAAAGUUGGUAACACCCGAAGCCGGUGGCCUAACCCCUUGUGGGA
RNAcentral lists this ribosomal RNA (891 nucleotides) under Arthrobacter sp. RNAcentral's name for it is "bacterial SSU rRNA". It matches the Rfam family "Bacterial small subunit ribosomal RNA", at positions 563 to 1448 of the family's 1533-position model. Lineage: Bacteria; Bacillati; Actinomycetota; Actinomycetes; Micrococcales; Micrococcaceae. The record is from RNAcentral.